RNAcentral lists this ribosomal RNA (253 nucleotides) under uncultured bacterium. RNAcentral's name for it is "partial 16S ribosomal RNA". It matches the Rfam family "Bacterial small subunit ribosomal RNA", at positions 524 to 776 of the family's 1533-position model. The record is from RNAcentral.
UACGUAGGGGGCGAGCGUUGUCCGGAAUUAUUGGGCGUAAAGCGCGCGUAGGCGGGAUAUUCAGUCUGGUGUAAAAGGGCGGGGCUUAACCCCGGAAGGUCAAUGGAAACUGCUAUUCUUGAGUGCAGGAGAGGAGAGUGGAAUUCCCAGUGUAGCGGUGAAAUGCGUAGAUAUUGGGAGGAACACCAGUAGCGAAGGCGACUUUCUGGACUGUGUCUGACGCUGAGGCGCGAAAGCGAGGGGAGCGAACGGG